UGUCGUCAGCUCGUGUCGUGAGAUGUUGGGUUAAGUCCCGCAACGAGCGCAACCCUCAUCCUUAGUUGCCAUCAGGUAAUGCUGAGUACUUUAAGGAAACUGCCAGUGAUAAGCUGGAGGAAGGUGGGGAUGAUGUCAAGUCAUCAUGGCCUUUAUGGAGUGGGCUACACACGUGCUACAAUGGUGUCUACAAUGGGCUGCAAGGUGCGCAAGCCUAAGCUAAUCCCUAAAAGACAUCUCAGUUCGGAUUGUACUCUGCAACUCGAGUACAUGAAGUUGGAAUCGCUAGUAAUCGUGGAUCAGCAUGCCACGGUGAAUACGUUCUCGGGUCUUGUACACACUGCCCGUCACGCCUGGGGAAUUGAC
This 366-nucleotide ribosomal RNA is filed under the name uncultured Wolbachia sp. Its description in RNAcentral is "bacterial SSU rRNA". It matches the Rfam family "Bacterial small subunit ribosomal RNA", at positions 1050 to 1415 of the family's 1533-position model. The record is from RNAcentral. Lineage: Bacteria; Pseudomonadati; Pseudomonadota; Alphaproteobacteria; Rickettsiales; Anaplasmataceae.